Molecule: transfer RNA, 78 nt
Filed under: Bacillus halotolerans
Lineage: Bacteria; Bacillati; Bacillota; Bacilli; Caryophanales; Bacillaceae
Also listed under: 1 other name
Description: tRNA-Pro
Rfam family: tRNA
About the family: Transfer RNA (tRNA) molecules are approximately 80 nucleotides in length. Their secondary structure includes four short double-helical elements and three loops (D, anti-codon, and T loops).
Source: RNAcentral
CGGGAAGUAGGCUCAGCUUGGUAGAGCACAUGGUUUGGGACCAUGGGGUCGCAGGUUCGAAUCCUGUCUUCCCGACCA